UACGUAGGGGGCUAGCGUUGUCCGGAAUCAUUGGGCGUAAAGCGCGUGUAGGCGGUCCGGUAAGUCCGCUGUGAAAGUCGGGGGCUCAACCCUCGAAUGCCGGUGGAUACUGUCGGGCUAGAGUGCGGAAGAGGCGAGUGGAAUUCCUGGUGUAGCGGUGAAAUGCGCAGAUAUCAGGAAGAACACCCGUGGCGAAAGCGGCUCUCUGGAACGGUACUGACGCUGAGACGCGAAAGCGUGGGGAGCGAACAGG
RNAcentral lists this ribosomal RNA (253 nucleotides) under uncultured bacterium. RNAcentral's name for it is "partial 16S ribosomal RNA". It matches the Rfam family "Bacterial small subunit ribosomal RNA", at positions 524 to 776 of the family's 1533-position model. The record is from RNAcentral.